This 32-nucleotide ribosomal RNA is filed under the name Cortinarius walpolensis. RNAcentral's name for it is "partial 28S ribosomal RNA". RNAcentral also lists the same sequence under 5 other names. The record is from RNAcentral. Lineage: Eukaryota; Fungi; Basidiomycota; Agaricomycetes; Agaricales; Cortinariaceae.
CAGGUAGGACUACCCGCUGAACUUAAGCAUAU